UUUCCUUCUCUUGAUAGAAAUACCUCCGGUAAUUAUUAUACUAUAAGUAGGUAUAUUUUACCAAUGCCAUGUUGAAAAGUGCUAUACACACUAGUUGUGGCAUUGCAAAAUACAAACAACAUUAACACACAGCUUGAAAGGGUUAACUGGUUUAAAGCUUAGCCUCUAAUAUCAUGCACUUCCAGAUGGGGGGAAAAACUUCAUUAGGAUAAUUUUUACAAUCAGUGAAUCCUUCUCAGGAGCCCUAAACUAAGAUAAAGGAAAACUAAAGCAUUAGUAGUUAGUAUUCCUAACUCCUUAGUAUUCCUGUCCCUAGUUAUGGAGGUCUUGUCCCCCCUUUAUCCAAUGAUUAAUAAAAUAAAGGUUUUUACUUAACUUUUUCCCUCACCAAAGCUCACUUGGGCUCACCUCUACUCCUUUCGUGAAUUCAUGGAGGAUGUAUGACCUCUUUUAGGAUGGUUUAAUACAAUGUUCUUCAUAAAGGAGCAUUAGGGACCUGAUGCCCGUCCAAGGCGGGAGCCACACGUGCAUCAAAAUUUCUCUAUAGUAAAACAUUCUUCCAAUAAAUUCCUAUGGGGGCUUAUGCAUCAAGUGACAGAGUUUUACUCUGUCAUUGCCGCAGCGGUACCUCUAAUGGCCAUCAUUAAGACAGACACUAGAGGGGGACCUAACUCUGUAAUGUAAAAAUGUCAGUGCCUAAAAGAAAAAAACUGCAAUAUUUUACAUUGCAGGUUUAAAAUUGAAGGACCACUGCACCUAGGUCUCUUUAUUGAUAUUAGUUUGCCUCGGUGACUUUAGUGGUCCUUUAACAGAGUGUAAACUAGAGUGUGUAAUAGGGGAAAAAGGCACAGUGUGUGGAUUGGAUUGGCGCCCAGUUUUAUCUCUUUAAAUAAAACUGCAUUAUGAUAGCACAAAGCUCUGGAAUUAAAUGCACCAAGGAAAUGUAGGCACUUAGAAGAUGAAAAAAAAGAAUACAAAAGAAAAGACAGGCACUAUACAGACAGUCAUGGUUACCCUCCCAUGUAGGCUUCAGCUAAUGUUGCUCUCAGUGGCUCAAUGUGUACUUAGUAUUUUGACUUUAUAAAUAUUAUCAUUCUCAAGCAAGUAUGAGAUCAUGUACCUAUCAGUAUCUGACCAGGCUGACUUUACAUCCUACGAGCCACAUAGUAAAAAUCUUAAAAGCAGCUUAAGUGAGCUUCACACACAUUUUGCCACCUUCUGGUGUUUUCUCGGUUCUCUCUCUUUUUCUGUUGAGUUUGCAAUAUUUAUAAAGCUUACAUGUAAUAAUUUUAUACAGACGGCUGCUUAUCAUUUUUUCUGAAAAAUUGUCACUUUCAAUAUAGUUCUAUUGUAUAAGCAUAUUUUUGUCCAUUAUACAGAACAUUUUACACUCACAAGCCUUGUGUAAAUUAAUAUUACGGUAAUUAAUAUUGUACCACGGAGCCGUUUAUCAUAUCUGUUAAAAAAAAUAUAUCACUUUCACUGAACUUCUGUUUCACUAUUGUUAUAUACUUCUCCCAAUAAAGAGUAUUUGUGUGUUUUUGCAAAUCUGAAUUUUUUUA
This 1562-nucleotide long non-coding RNA is filed under the name Pelobates cultripes (western spadefoot toad). Lineage: Eukaryota; Metazoa; Chordata; Amphibia; Anura; Pelobatidae. The record is from RNAcentral.